RNAcentral lists this ribosomal RNA (497 nucleotides) under uncultured bacterium. Its description in RNAcentral is "partial 16S ribosomal RNA". It matches the Rfam family "Bacterial small subunit ribosomal RNA", at positions 28 to 507 of the family's 1533-position model. The record is from RNAcentral.
GAUGAACGCUGGCGGCGUGCCUAAUACAUGCAAGUCGAGCGAACAGACGAGGAGCUUGCUCCUCUGACGUUAGCGGCGGACGGGUGAGUAACACGUGGAUAACCUACCUAUAAGACUGGGAUAACUUCGGGAAACCGGAGCUAAUACCGGAUAAUAUAUUGAACCGCAUGGUUCAAUAGUGAAAGACGGUUUUGCUGUCACUUAUAGAUGGAUCCGCGCCGCAUUAGCUAGUUGGUAAGGUAACGGCUUACCAAGGCAACGAUGCGUAGCCGACCUGAGAGGGUGAUCGGCCACAUUGGAACUGAGACACGGUCCAGACUCCUACGGGAGGCAGCAGUAGGGAAUCUUCCGCAAUGGGCGAAAGCCUGACGGAGCAACGCCGCGUGAGUGAUGAAGGUCUUCGGGUCGUAAAACUCUGUUAUUAGGGAAGAACAAAUGUGUAAGUAACUAUGCACGUCUUGACGGUACCUAAUCAGAAAGCCACGGCUAACUACGUG